This 696-nucleotide ribosomal RNA is filed under the name Salmonella enterica. RNAcentral's name for it is "partial 23S ribosomal RNA". It matches the Rfam family "Bacterial large subunit ribosomal RNA", at positions 2238 to 2925 of the family's 2925-position model. The record is from RNAcentral. Lineage: Bacteria; Pseudomonadati; Pseudomonadota; Gammaproteobacteria; Enterobacterales; Enterobacteriaceae.
ACCCGGGUUGCGGACAGUGUCUGGUGGGUAGUUUGACUGGGGCGGUCUCCUCCUAAAGAGUAACGGAGGAGCACGAAGGUUGGCUAAUCCUGGUCGGACAUCAGGAGGUUAGUGCAAUGGCAUAAGCCAGCUUGACUGCGAGCGUGACGGCGCGAGCAGGUGCGAAAGCAGGUCAUAGUGAUCCGGUGGUUCUGAAUGGAAGGGCCAUCGCUCAACGGAUAAAAGGUACUCCGGGGAUAACAGGCUGAUACCGCCCAAGAGUUCAUAUCGACGGCGGUGUUUGGCACCUCGAUGUCGGCUCAUCACAUCCUGGGGCUGAAGUAGGUCCCAAGGGUAUGGCUGUUCGCCAUUUAAAGUGGUACGCGAGCUGGGUUUAGAACGUCGUGAGACAGUUCGGUCCCUAUCUGCCGUGGGCGCUGGAGAACUGAGGGGGGCUGCUCCUAGUACGAGAGGACCGGAGUGGACGCAUCACUGGUGUUCGGGUUGUCAUGCCAAUGGCACUGCCCGGUAGCUAAAUGCGGAAGAGAUAAGUGCUGAAAGCAUCUAAGCACGAAACUUGCCCCGAGAUGAGUUCUCCCUGAGACUUAGAGUCUCCUGAAGGAACGUUGAAGACGACGACGUUGAUAGGCCGGGUGUGUAAGCGCAGCGAUGCGUUGAGCUAACCGGUACUAAUGAACCGUGAGGCUUAACCUUACA